Long non-coding RNA from Vombatus ursinus (common wombat), 452 nucleotides. RefSeq lists it as uncharacterized. The record is from RefSeq and is a predicted model, not a curated record. NCBI's taxonomy places the organism in Eukaryota, Metazoa, Chordata, Mammalia, Diprotodontia, Vombatidae. The transcript is spliced from 3 exons.
AGAGUGGUACAGGUGCCAUUCACCAAGCCCAAUGUCCAGUCUCAAGUGAGCUGUGAGGUAAAGCCCAGAUUAUCCACACGGUUGCAGACCUUGAAGCCUCAGAGGGAUGCAACGAACAAUUCCCCAUCAAGCAGAGAAAGCUGAUUGUUAAACAUUGACCAGCACACCACUAGCCCAGCCCCACUGGUUACAGAGUAUAGCCGAGACUUCUGGGGUCCACUGACUAUGGCUGCCCCAAAACCUUUCCUGGCUGAGAAAACUCAACCAUACAAUCUCCUCUUGACCGUAGUCUUUCUGGGAUGGAAGAUCCUGCUUCUGGUGGCCCUUUCUGCCCACUGCAUCUUCAGGAGAAGCCUGCUGUGACUGGUGAGAAGAGGCAGGAGCUUUUGGAAAGGAUGACCUUUGUGAUGAAACAGGACAGAGGAGGACUUUGGCCUCAACCUUGGAACGUU